CUACGUGCCAGCAGCCGCGGUAAUACGGAGGGUGCGAGCGUUAAUCGGAAUAACUGGGCGUAAAGGGCACGCAGGCGGUGACUUAAGUGAGGUGUGAAAUCCCCGGGCUUAACCUGGGAAUUGCAUUUCAGACUGGGUAGCUAGAGUACUUUAGGGAGGGGUAGAAUUCCACGUGUAGCGGUGAAAUGCGUAGAGAUGUGGAGGAAUACCGAAGGCGAAGGCAGCCCCUUGGGAAUGUACUGACGCUCAUGUGCGAAAGCGUGGGGAGCAAACAGGAUUAGAUACCCUGGUAGUCCACGCUGUAAACGCUGUCGAUUUGGGGAUUGGGCUUUAAGCUUGGUGCCCGUAGCUAACGUGAUAAAUCGACCGCCUGGGGAGUACGGCCGCAAGGUUAAAACUCAAAUGAAUUGACGGGGGCCCGCACAAGCGGUGGAGCAUGUGGUUUAAUUCGAUGCAACGCGAAGAACCUUACCUACUCUUGACAUCCAUGGAAUCCUGUAGAGAUACGGGAGUGC
RNAcentral lists this ribosomal RNA (515 nucleotides) under uncultured bacterium. RNAcentral describes it as "bacterial SSU rRNA". It matches the Rfam family "Bacterial small subunit ribosomal RNA", at positions 501 to 1017 of the family's 1533-position model. The record is from RNAcentral.